This 630-nucleotide ribosomal RNA is filed under the name uncultured cyanobacterium. RNAcentral's name for it is "bacterial SSU rRNA". It matches the Rfam family "Bacterial small subunit ribosomal RNA", at positions 100 to 765 of the family's 1533-position model. Lineage: Bacteria; Bacillati; Cyanobacteriota. The record is from RNAcentral.
GGACGGGUGAGUAACGCGUGAGAAUCUGCCCUCAGGAUGGGGACAACAGCUGGAAACGGCUGCUAAUACCCGAUGUGCCGAGAGGUGAAACAUUUAUGGCUUGAGGAUGAGCUCGCGUCUGAUUAGCUAGUUGGUGGGGUAAAAGCCUACCAAGGCGACGAUCAGUAGCUGGUCUGAGAGGAUGAUCAGCCACACUGGGAAUGAGACACGGCCCAGACUCCUACGGGAGGCAGCAGUGGGGAAUUUUCCGCAAUGGGCGCAAGCCUGACGGAGCAAGACCGCGUGCGGGAGGACGGCCUAUUGGUUGUAAACCGCUUUUGAUAGGGAAGAAGUUCUGACGGUACCUAUCGAAUCAGCAUCGGCUAACUCCGUGCCAGCAGCCGCGGUAAUACGGAGGAUGCAAGCGUUAUCCGGAAUUAUUGGGCGUAAAGCGUCCGUAUGUGGUUGUUCAAGUCUGCUGUUAAAGCGUGCGGCUUAACCGCAUACCAGCAGUGGAAACUGGGCAACUAGAGUGCGGUAGAGGUCAGGGGAAUUCCCAGUGUAGCGGUGAAAUGCGUAGAUAUUGGGAAGAACACCGGUGGCGAAAGCGCCUGACUGGACCUGCACUGACAUGAGGGACGAAAGCUAGGG